Molecule: long non-coding RNA, 769 nt
Organism: Bos taurus (domestic cattle)
Lineage: Eukaryota; Metazoa; Chordata; Mammalia; Artiodactyla; Bovidae
Source: Ensembl
UGUGCCCACAUGUUUCCCAAGGGGCCACAACCCUCGGGGGUGCCUGGUGGGUGCUGAAGUCGGGGUGUCCUGGAUGAAGUCGGCGUGCCCUGGGUGAAGUUGGGGUGUCCUUGGUGAAGUCAGGGUGGCAAGCCUCUUGGGUACUGAAGUCGGGGUGUCCUGGAUGAAAUUGGGGUACCAUGGAUGAAGUCAGGGUGUCCUGGGUGAAGUCAGGCUGUCUUGAAGUUGGGGUAUCGUGGGUGAGGUCAGGGUGCCCUGGGUGAAGUCAGGGUGUCCUGGGUGAAGUCAGGGUGUCCUUGGUGAAGUCUGGGUGUCCUGGAUGAAGUCAGGGUGCCCUGGGUGAAGUUGGGGUGUCCUGGGUGAAGUCGGGGUGCCCUGGGUGAAGUCGGGGUGCCCUGGGUGAAGUUGGGGUGCCCUGAGUGAAGUCGGGGUGCCCUGGGUGAAGUCCCCGUGUCACUGGACCCACCCGUCUACCACCAGCCCCCGCCCGGGCGCCUCCUCCCCCCGCCAAGCUCCGGCUGCACCUGCCUGGCUCCUCCCCACCGGGCGCUGUCGGCCUUCCCACCUGUCUGUACGGGGGUCACCCUAUGUUGCCCUGCCUCCCAGCAGGGGCCCUUGACAUCCAGCCUCCCCCAAGCAGAGAGCAGUGAUGGGAAAGUGAAGGUCAUCCUUGAGCUUGAAGAUGCUCGAGGUCGUCCUGAAUCAGGCAUGGUCCUCCCUAAAGGAGCUGCCCGCUGGGCCAAGUCUGAGCAGUCAGCACGCCAUCCUA